This is an RNA transcript of Vigna angularis (adzuki bean), 2558 nucleotides long. It is a transcript of the gene named methylcrotonoyl-CoA carboxylase subunit alpha, mitochondrial, with no coding region annotated. The record is from RefSeq and is a predicted model, not a curated record. The transcript is spliced from 16 exons. NCBI's taxonomy places the organism in Eukaryota, Viridiplantae, Streptophyta, Magnoliopsida, Fabales, Fabaceae.
CUCUACAUUCGCCACACCUACGGACCAACCACCAUGGCUUCUCUGGCAUUAAUCCGCAGAAAGAUUAUAAUCACCCGCACCACGCUCUCCCACUGGCACGUGUGCGCACGAGCAUUCUCCAACGCUGACAGCAACAACAAUCGCAUCGAGAAGAUUCUAGUAGCUAACCGCGGCGAAAUAGCUUGCAGGAUCAUGCGCACCGCACGGAGGCUUGGCAUUCAAACCGUCGCCGUGUAUAGCGACGCCGAUAGGGACUCGCUACACGUGGCCUCCGCCGACGAGGCCAUCCGAAUCGGACCGCCACCGGCGCGCCUCAGUUACUUGAACGGAACCACCAUCGUCGACGCCGCCAUUCGCUCCGGCGCACAGGCUAUUCACCCUGGGUAUGGAUUCUUGUCCGAGAGUGCUGUCUUCGCUAAGCUUUGUGAGGACAGUGGUCUCACGUUUAUUGGGCCUCCUGCAUCUGCAAUUCGCGACAUGGGAGACAAGAGUGCAUCGAAGAGAAUAAUGGGAACUGCAGGGGUGCCUCUUGUGCCUGGAUAUCACGGAGAUGAUCAAGAUAUUGAGAGAAUGAAGUUAGAAGCUGAUAAGAUUGGAUACCCAGUCCUAAUUAAGCCAACCCAUGGUGGUGGAGGAAAGGGUAUGAGAAUUGUGCACUCUCCAGAGGAGUUUGUUGAAUCAUUCCUAGCAGCACAACGGGAAGCAGCAGCUUCUUUUGGUGUCAACACCAUAUUGCUGGAGAAGUAUAUUACACGGCCAAGACAUAUAGAAGUCCAAAUAUUUGGGGAUAAGCAUGGGAAUGUUCUGCAUUUGAAUGAGCGAGAUUGCAGUGUUCAGAGAAGACACCAAAAAAUAAUAGAAGAAGCUCCAGCACCAAACAUUUCUGCCGACUUUCGCGCACACUUAGGUCAAGCUGCUGUUUCUGCAGCAAAGGCAGUUAAUUAUUACAGUGCUGGGACUGUGGAGUUUAUAGUUGAUACAAUCUCUGACGAGUUUUACUUCAUGGAGAUGAAUACACGUCUUCAGGUUGAGCAUCCUGUCACAGAAAUGAUUGUUGGUCAGGAUCUUGUUGAAUGGCAAAUUCUUGUUGCCAAUGGAGAAGCUCUUCCAUUGAGUCAAUCACAGGUACCCAUAUCAGGCCAUGCUUUUGAAGCUCGAAUCUAUGCUGAAAAUGUUCAAAAAGGGUUUCUUCCAGCAACUGGAGUUCUACACCAUUAUCAUGUUCCAGUCUCAUCUGAAGUUCGGGUGGAGACUGGGGUUAAACAAGGAGACACUGUUAGCAUGCACUAUGAUCCUAUGAUUGCUAAGCUUGUGGUGUGGGGAGACAAUCGUGCUUCUGCAUUGGUCAAACUGAAGGAUAGUUUGUCAAAGUUCCAGGUUGCAGGUUUACCAACCAAUGUCAGCUUCAUUCUAAAGCUAGCUAAUCACGGGGCAUUUGCAAAUGGCAAUGUGGAGACUCAUUUUAUUGAUAACUACAAAGAAGAUCUCUUUGGGGAUGGUAACAAUUCAGUGUCUGACCAAGAAGCAUACGAAGCUGCUAGACAUAAUGCAUCUCUAGUGGCCGCAUGUCUCAUUGAGAAAGAGCAUUUCGUAUCAUCAAGAAACCCCCCUGGGGGCGGCAGCUUACUCCCUAUAUGGUAUUCUUCUCCGCCUUUUAGAGUUCAUCAUCAGGCUAAGCGUAAAAUGGAACUUGAAUGGGAAAAUGAAUAUGAUAGCGGUAGCUCAAAGACCAUGAAGCUUACUAUCACCUGUCAGCCUGCUGGGAGAUACCUGAUUGAAACAGAAGAAAAUGGAUCUCCUGUUUUAGACGUCAAAGCAUCAUAUGUAAAAGAUCGCCAUUUUAGAGUUGAAGCUGGUGGUGUAAUCAAUGAUGUUAACGUAGCUGUUUAUUCAAAGGAUCAAACAAGGCAUAUUCAUAUUUGGCAAGGAUCCUAUCAUCAUUAUUUCAGAGAGAAGUUAGGCCUGGAUCUAUCUGAGGAUGGAGAAUUACAACAUAAACCCAAAGUUGAAACAUCAGCCAAUCCUCGAGGGACAGUUGUAGCACCCAUGGCAGGCUUGGUAGUUAAAGUUCUAGUGGAGAACAAGACAAGAGUAGAGGAAGGUCAACCUGUGAUAGUAUUAGAAGCAAUGAAGAUGGAGAAAGUUAUAUAUAACCAACAAUGUUCUGCGCUUCUAGCAUGUUGUAAAGGCACCAUCUUCUGGCUAUGUGCAUGAACUUCAAGUUACGGUUGGUGAACAGGUUUCAGAUGGCAGUGUUCUUUUCAGUGUAAAGUGUCCACGCUUCUUAGAUCAUCAGUAAUACUGAUUGUGGUGCUUGGACAGGAUCAAUAAAAUCUCACACGGAUUACAGCUUUACCGUUAUGUCAAGAUUCUGGCAACAGGGCCUCUAUCUGAAUGGAUACUUGCACGCAGGAGGACAACCGAACGCCUUGAAUUUGAUUACUUAGAAGUCCUUGUAACUCAAUUUUUCAAGUUACAAAGGAUGACAUGUACUUUACAAUAAUGCAAACAGUUUCUCCAGUAACUAUAUAAUAAGACUACAAAUUGCUUCAUGUUUA